RNAcentral lists this ribosomal RNA (751 nucleotides) under Micromonospora sp. RNAcentral's name for it is "bacterial SSU rRNA". It matches the Rfam family "Bacterial small subunit ribosomal RNA", at positions 88 to 852 of the family's 1533-position model. Lineage: Bacteria; Bacillati; Actinomycetota; Actinomycetes; Micromonosporales; Micromonosporaceae. The record is from RNAcentral.
UACUCGAGCGGCGAACGGGUGAGUAACACGUGAGCAACCUGCCCUAGGCUUUGGGAUAACCCCGGGAAACCGGGGCUAAUACCGAAUAUGACCACGUGCCGCAUGGUGUGUGGUGGAAAGUUUUUCGGCCUGGGAUGGGCUCGCGGCCUAUCAGCUUGUUGGUGGGGUGAUGGCCUACCAAGGCGACGACGGGUAGCCGGCCUGAGAGGGCGACCGGCCACACUGGGACUGAGACACGGCCCAGACUCCUACGGGAGGCAGCAGUGGGGAAUAUUGCACAAUGGGCGGAAGCCUGAUGCAGCGACGCCGCGUGAGGGAUGACGGCCUUCGGGUUGUAAACCUCUUUCAGCAGGGACGAAGCGGAAGUGACGGUACCUGCAGAAGAAGCGCCGGCCAACUACGUGCCAGCAGCCGCGGUAAGACGUAGGGCGCGAGCGUUGUCCGGAUUUAUUGGGCGUAAAGAGCUCGUAGGCGGCUUGUCGCGUCGACUGUGAAAACCCGCAGCUCAACUGCGGGCCUGCAGUCGAUACGGGCAGGCUAGAGUUCGGUAGGGGAGACUGGAAUUCCUGGUGUAGCGGUGAAAUGCGCAGAUAUCAGGAGGAACACCGGUGGCGAAGGCGGGUCUCUGGGCCGAUACUGACGCUGAGGAGCGAAAGCGUGGGGAGCGAACAGGAUUAGAUACCCUGGUAGUCCACGCUGUAAACGUUGGGCGCUAGGUGUGGGGGGCCUCUCCGGUUCCCUGUGCCGCAGC